GGGUAGGUAUGCAAACUGGCUGAAGCAAGCGGUCUGUAAAACCGUGACAUUGGAAACACUGUUGGUUCAAAUCCAACCCUGCCCACCA
Molecule: transfer RNA, 88 nt
Filed under: Oscillospiraceae bacterium
Lineage: Bacteria; Bacillati; Bacillota; Clostridia; Eubacteriales; Oscillospiraceae
Description: tRNA-Tyr
Rfam family: tRNA
About the family: Transfer RNA (tRNA) molecules are approximately 80 nucleotides in length.
Source: RNAcentral